AUCACCACGUUGGGCUGCACCAGCCGUGCCACGUUACGAAACCUAACGCGACGUGACUGAUGCAGGCUGACGUGAUGUGU
This 80-nucleotide microRNA precursor is filed under the name Merops nubicus (carmine bee-eater). RNAcentral's name for it is "mir-1791 microRNA precursor family". It matches the Rfam family "mir-1791 microRNA precursor family". Lineage: Eukaryota; Metazoa; Chordata; Aves; Coraciiformes; Meropidae. The record is from Rfam by way of RNAcentral.